CGAAAUUUUAUACGUGGUGCGUGAAAGGUGAAAACUAGAUGAACCCAGGCAGAUCAGGAGAAUGCUGAGAUCGCUUCUCAAAAACUAACAAAUGGUGGAUCAUAGCGCUGUCUAAAUCUUAGUUUCUCCUCUCUGAUCUUCUCACGUGGUUCGUUUCUCGGCGUUUCUUUUACUCAUCGGAAUCUGCUUGAUCUCCCCCCUUCGGAUUUUAAUUGCUCGAUUCUAAAUCCUUUUCUGGUCCCAUUGCUUCUGUUCAGUUGCCUCCUCCAGGAAGUCACAUUACAGGAUGGCUGACGUUGGGAAAGUGCUGUAUAUUGUGGUGGUUGACGAGUAUGAGCAGAAAGCGAAGGGCAAGGAGUCAUUUCGGUAUACACGCCCUGUUCUGCAGAGCACUUUGCAGUUCAUGGGAUGCAAAGCGCGACAUGCCUUUAAGAUCAGUAAAAGGGUGUUUGAACUCACAAGGAGCGAGAGUUU
Neltuma alba is the source of this 474-nucleotide long non-coding RNA. RefSeq lists it as uncharacterized. Lineage: Eukaryota; Viridiplantae; Streptophyta; Magnoliopsida; Fabales; Fabaceae. The transcript has 3 exons. The record is from RefSeq and is a predicted model, not a curated record.